CUAUAAAGUUUUACUUUAUACGAAUUCUGGAGAAGCUGAGUGAGGCCAUGUCUGUUACCAGGAGACAUGAGACUCACAGCAGAUCUCUCUGGCUUAACAUGGGAGAUGGUGAUGAUCUUUACAGGAUACAUAACGACAAUGGCAUUUCACAUCAACAUAAAUACAAGGGGUCAAGGAGGAAGGUCACAAGUUUGGUUGGAUCAGUGAAUAUGUCUGCAUUGGUUCAAGCGAUUGUUAUAUGAGGCCUGAGUCCAAGGUUGCAUUUUAAUAUAAGGUGUCAGAAUAUGGAGAGCCACUGAAUAAUUUUGAACUGAAAUGUACAUGGCCACAUUUUAACGAUGGAAAGGCUAUUCUCCAAACCAGCUAAGUUGUUUUGAAGAUGACAGAACAAUUUCUAAGUCCAUAACUCAGAUGACACGAUUUGAAAAACAGAGCUGGCCAACUAAGUACAUGAACCCUACUAAGUCAGGAUCACAAGAAGAAUAUGACGUAAGGCAACUGAGAGGGUCAGAAAAGUAACUAGAGGAUCCUGAGCUGAU
This is a long non-coding RNA of Symphalangus syndactylus (siamang), 539 nucleotides long. RefSeq lists it as uncharacterized. NCBI's taxonomy places the organism in Eukaryota, Metazoa, Chordata, Mammalia, Primates, Hylobatidae. The record is from RefSeq and is a predicted model, not a curated record.